This 484-nucleotide ribosomal RNA is filed under the name uncultured bacterium. RNAcentral describes it as "partial 16S ribosomal RNA". It matches the Rfam family "Bacterial small subunit ribosomal RNA", at positions 29 to 523 of the family's 1533-position model. The record is from RNAcentral.
AGUGAACGCUGGCGGCGUGCUUAACACAUGCAAGUCGAACGAGAACGGAUUAUAGCUUGCUAUAAUUGUCAGCUAAGUGGCGCACGGGUGAGUAAUGUAGAGGUAAUAUGCCUCUUACUAAGGGAUAACAAAUGGAAACGUUUGCUAAUACCGUAUACUCCUUAUUAACAGAAGUUAAUAAGGGAAAGAUUUAUUGGUAAGAGAUUAGCCUGUAUUGUAUCAGUUAGUUGGUGGGGUAAUGGCUUAACAAGACUAUGACACAUAACUGGUUUGAGAGGAUGAUCAGUCACACUGGAACUGAGACACGGUCCAGACUCCUACGGGAGGCAGCAGUGGGGAAUAUUGCACAAUGGACGAAAGUCUGAUGCUGCAACGCCGCGUGGAGGAUGACACAUUUCGGUGCGUAAACUCCUUUUAUAUGAGAAGAUAAUGACGGUAUUAUAUGAAUAAGCACCGGCUAACUCCGUGCCAGCAGCCGCCGUAA